RNAcentral lists this long non-coding RNA (348 nucleotides) under Solanum tuberosum (potato). RNAcentral's name for it is "long non-coding RNA (STUB_LNC001714)". The record is from RNAcentral. Lineage: Eukaryota; Viridiplantae; Streptophyta; Magnoliopsida; Solanales; Solanaceae.
CUGUGUUGUCUCCCACCCUUCUCUCUUCUUCUUCUUCUUCCUUUGAUCAUCUACUUGUUUCUUUAUUUUUCUCUUCUAACACAAAAAAUUACAAGAGAACAAAAGUAAAUAGCAAAUACAGAAGAGAGAAAAAAUGGAAGUCUGAAAAAUAUUAAGACUAAAAAGAAGUUAAAUUUUUACUCUAGUUUUAGUUUCGAUGGGUCUUCAAGCCGAACAACUUUUCGGCGCCAAUUUUUUUGGUAUUGACUGCCUCAACAAUGGCUAUUUUUUAAUAAAGUAACCGGUGAGAUAUUUUUUCCGGCAAUUAGUUUCAAAGGACUAAUUUUGGGGAUGAAAUUGAGAAUUUUU